UCCUUUUAUUACUUAAAACCUGCUUUAAAAAACAUUUUAACCCUUUUUUUAAAAAAAAAAAACCUAAAACAUUUCUAUCAUUUUCCUUCCUCAGCCGAAAGGGCAAAAACCCAGGCCCUCUUCUGCCACCUCGCGCACUGCUGUAGACGGCCAUCGGAAGGCCGAAAUUUUCCCACUUUUGCUAGCGAAUCAAAAGGUACGACUCCUCUCCCUUCUACGAUAUAUUAUUUUGUAUUUCGUGGACUCAAAUAAAAAUAAAAAUAAAAAUAACAAAAUAAAAUAAUGAUGAACCACCUUGAAGUAUUCUUUUAACUGCUCUUGGAUUCUUUGUGUAUUUUAUAUUCUAAAAAAAAAAAAUCCCCUAACAAAUGAAAAUUCGUAGCCUUUUAUAGCCAACUUUACAAUGGUUUCUUUGCUUCUACUAGUUGCAGGUAUGGUGAACGUGGGGCGUGGGUCGUGCUACACGCGAGUUGGCCGGACGUGCGAGGUGGAGAGCGUGGUGGUUGCAUUUGUGCGGCGCAUGGAGACAUAGGGUUUCCCAAAAACCCCAAAACUUUGGGCCUAUCAGGCCUUUAUUUUUUUGGACCCAAGUCUUUAUUUUUAUGAAUUGGGCCUGCUGUAGUUUAGGUUUGGACUGUUGUCUUUUGUCGAUUGUAUGUAUAUGGGCCCGAGCUAAAAUUAGGUCUUACAAUCUACAUUAACAGAUUAAUAAUUAAAAUUAAAUUAGAAACUAUAUAUAAAACUUAAAAUCCACACAAUCUACUAUUAUAAUAUUUAUAUUUUGAAAUAUUGUUUAUUAAAUUCAGUCUAAUAUCAAUUACUGUAUUUUUAAAAUUAAAUGUAUAUAUUAUGUUUUAAUUUCUUAACCAUUUUAUUAACAAAAUGUUACAAAAUCUAUUAA
Molecule: long non-coding RNA, 901 nt
Filed under: Gossypium barbadense (sea-island cotton)
Lineage: Eukaryota; Viridiplantae; Streptophyta; Magnoliopsida; Malvales; Malvaceae
Description: long non-coding RNA (GBAR_LNC001915)
Source: RNAcentral